ACCCCAAGCGUAGUAAUGACAAGCUCUGCUUAAACCCUUGCAAGCAAGCAGCAGCAGCAGUCUCCAAACUAUGUACAUGCAUUUCCUCCUCCGUCGAACUCACCACCAGCGUCAACAAUGGCGGACACUGUUCGACGAUGCCCUUUCCAUCAAACAUGUAAGAGAUCGUGGAUUAGACCACGCUGUCGAAAGAGAAAAGAAUCUCAAACCACUUCUCAACAUCAAGAAUCUUAUCAAAUCUGAACCAUCGAAAUCAAUUCCCUUAAACAUCAUCACACAAUCUAAAGAUUCUCUACAAAUCCCAUCUCGCCCCAUUGAGUUUAUCCGAAAAUACCCUUCAAUUUUUCAAGAAUUUUUCCCAGCUAGCAUAAACAUACAUCCCCAUAUCAAGUUAACCCCAGAAAUUCUCAGUAUUGAUUCAGAUGAAGAGUUGUUCUAUCAAAGUGUGAGUUACAAAGAAGAUGUUGCAGAUAGGCUUUUGAAGAUUUUGAUGAUAGGUAAAAUUAAUAAAAUCCCUUUACAUGUUAUUGAUAAGCUUAAAUGGGAUUUGGGUUUGUGUAAUAAUUUUGUGGAAACUAUAGUGCCAGAAUAUCCGGAUUAUUUUCAGGUGAAUAAUGAGUCAAUGUUGGAAUUAGUUUGUUGGAGUCAUGAACUUGCUGUUUCCUCUUUGGAAAAACAAGCAGUGAAAUGUGAAAGUGAAGAUUUGUUAGUUAAGUUUGAUUUGAAGUAUUCAAAUGGGUUUGAGAUGGAUAAGAAGUACAAGAAAUGGGUUGAUGAAUGGAAAAAAUUGCCUUAUAUUUCGCCAUAUGAGAAUGUAAAGAAUCUUCCUACAAAGAGUGAUGAAGCUGAUAAGUGGGCAGUGAUAAUUUUGCAUGAAAUUCUUAGUCUUUGUGUUGGGAAGAAGGCGGAGAAAGAUAAUUUGCUUUUGAUAGGAGAGUAUUUGGGACUUCGCUCUAGGUUUAAGAGGGCAUUGUUGUUGCAUCCUGGGAUAUUCUAUGUGUCAAGUAAGAUCGACACACAUACUGUGGUACUGAAGGAGGGAUAUAAAAGGGGAAUGUUAAUUCAGAAGAACUCGUUGAUAGAACUGAGGUCUAAGUAUGUUUAUCUCAUGAACAAGGUUACGGAGGAUAAAAAAUCAAAAGAAGUGCAGCAAAAAGGUAGUCAUGAUCUGAAAGAAGGUGAUGCAAAGGAAACUGAUGUUGAUAAUGAAGAUGAAGAUGAAGAUGAAGAUGAAGACUAUCAUGAGGACUCUGAUGAUGUGCAUAAUGACUACCAUGAUGAUGAGACGGACAAUGAGGGUAGAGAUGAGAAGCAUAGCCAAAGAGUAAACUCGAGGAGAAGAGUUGAUGAUAGAAACUCAAUGACAAGAGAUGAUGAUAGAAACUCAAUGACAAGAGAUGAUGAUAGGAAGCCUACCCGAAGAUUAAACUCAAGGACUAGAGAUUAUGAUAGGAAUACUUCAGCUACCUCUUCGAGGACUAGAGAUUAUGAUAGGAAUACUUCAGCUACCUCUCCGAGGACUAGAGAUUAUGAUAGGAAUACUUCAGCUGCCUCACCGAGGACUAGAGGUUAUGAUAGGAAUACUUCAGCUACCUCUCCGAGGACUAGAGAUUAUGAUAGGAAUACUUCAGCUACCUCUCCGAGGACAUCCUUGGGGAGAAAUCAAAACAGAGAUGUGGAAAGGCCAUCAAGAAGAUCGUCUUGGAGGGCAGAAAAUAAUAGUGAGCAAGAUGCUCGAUCAACAUAUGGGGACAGAAAGCUUCCAAUAAAUUCAUGGAAGACUUCAGCAGGAAGAAGUUCCAACAGAACCAACGAAAGAACCUUUCGAUCUCCUAGGAGGGUGGAGACUAAUGAUAAUCAAUAUGCUCACCGGAGAUCAAGUAACAAAUUUGAUCUUCAUAGAAACCGGGGAACAUCUGAACGGAGGAGGAAUUCCACGCCAUGAAAAUCUAUCCGCUUUGUGAAGACAGUGCAUAAUAGGCUUGCUUUUGAUAGUUUUAGGUUUGUCAGUUGUCAAUCACAUAUGCAAGGUAUAAGGUUGUAACAACAUAUUGCAGAAUCUUGUCUCAUCUAAUUUUGUUUUUGGUGCAGUUCCGAUGCUUUUCUGGUGGUUUUGUUGGUGCAAGUCUAAUGUUGUUUUAGAGGUGAUUUUGAUGCUGCUGUUCUGGUGUAAUUCCAAUGCUGUUUUGAUACUUUUUUGGAGUAAAUUUAGUGCAGUUUUGGUGCAUUUCUGGUGCUAUUUUGAUACUUUUCUGGUGAAAUACUGGUCUUGUGUUGAAGAACUUUUGGUGCAUUUUUGGUGCUGCUUUCAUGCAGUUCUGGUGCAAAUCUGCUGCAAUUUUAGUAGUGUUCUUCUGCAAUUCUGAUAUACUUUUGGUUCUUUUUGUAAAACUAAAUACAAGAUACUGAUAUGUUUAGUACCCUCCUAAUAAAAUUCAAUUAGGAGUUCUAGUUAG
Molecule: RNA transcript, 2456 nt
Organism: Solanum pennellii
Lineage: Eukaryota; Viridiplantae; Streptophyta; Magnoliopsida; Solanales; Solanaceae
Gene name: protein WHAT'S THIS FACTOR 9, mitochondrial
Exons: 2
Source: RefSeq, a predicted model, not a curated record